UAGAACACAACAGUGGCCCAAAUCGAGCUACAAAUCAGCGACCAGAAUCCGGCGACUAGCGGGGAGGAUUCCUUCUUCUUCUCCAAUUCGAAGAAUAAUACCCUUAAUAUCAUUUCUUUCUUCUCUGUGCUCAAAUCGAAGAACAAGGCAAAACCCUAUCUCCUUCCUUCUUGCUGAAAUUCAAUGAGAUGUUUGUUUUCUUUAACCGAGUAACAAAAUCGCUGGUUCCUUUUACUUGAAAGAUGGUGAGAAUGAAAUGAGGAAAUGGAAAUGGAUGAGUACAGAAAGGAUCGGAUUUAUUUAUACAAUGGUAAGAAAAAUGUCCAGGAUCCAAAACAUGGGCCGAUUUGGCUUUUAGAUUCUUCUCUCUCCGCCUGCAUCCAAAAUCAGUGGACCUGAAGUUGACAGGUUAGUUCCCUAAUGGAACUUAAGACUGGUGGAAAAGCCAUGCCAAUGGAGAAAAGGAGUUCCUAUCCAUUUCAAAUGAUGAUCCUAGGGAAUCAAUCAAUUUAGCGUACGCCAUUAGAGGAGUAUGUUGUUAUGGUACUAAAUAUGCUAUGUGAUUUUUCUUUUGCUGUUAUCAAUGGAAAUUAUUUAGUUGGAACAAAGCUUUAGAUUUCACUAUCGGGUUCCCCAGUUCUGGCCUGAACUCAAUGAUUCUUUUGUUACUGGACCUUCUCCAAAUCAACAUGGGUUCCCCCUGUGUCCAAAUCUACCUUCUCAUCUGUCUCUUCGCCCUCUUCUCCAUUUUUAACAUUAGUUUGUUGUCUCAUUGCAUGGAUGGUUGAAGCUCGAAUAUUAAGUUUGGCUGAACCUGGAAGAUUUGCUUUCGUAGGAAGGUGGCCGGAGUAAUUAGCAGCAAUGGACAGUAGCUCACUCACAGGAAUGGAGCACAAUAUCAGGGAAGAAGGGGUAGUUUCCACACUCGCUAGCAGGGAUGGAGCUCAGUUGAUGUGAUGGAGCACUAUCGCAAGGAAGAAGGAUUAGGGCAAUCACAUCCAGCAUCUCCAUUGAACCUAUAGGCCUGCUCGACAUGUUCAACUCCAGUGGAUUUGUGUAGUAUGAAGUUCAGAAGUCUACUAACUAGAAAACGGAACUGUUUAUUGCUGAAGUUGCAUCCAAGUAUCCAAGUUUGCUCAGUUAGAAUUUUUCACCAACUACAACCAUAAUCUCCAAAGUCAGGGGAAGUGGGGGGUUUUGCACCUUCUUGUUAGAGUCCACUGAAGUGCAUUGUGGGUACCUAGGAACCGAAUUCAACUACAACCCUGACAGUGGACUACUGACUUUGACUAUCCUGGCCUCUAGAGGAAGAGAAUGUACAGAUGGCCUAUUGAAAGGGUUGAAAUCGUCUGCAAUUCCGAUCUCGU
Long non-coding RNA from Macadamia integrifolia, 1367 nucleotides. RefSeq lists it as uncharacterized. The transcript is spliced from 4 exons. Lineage: Eukaryota; Viridiplantae; Streptophyta; Magnoliopsida; Proteales; Proteaceae. The record is from RefSeq and is a predicted model, not a curated record.